This 457-nucleotide ribosomal RNA is filed under the name uncultured bacterium. Its description in RNAcentral is "bacterial SSU rRNA". It matches the Rfam family "Bacterial small subunit ribosomal RNA", at positions 923 to 1379 of the family's 1533-position model. The record is from RNAcentral.
GCACAAGCGGUGGAGCAUGUGGUUUAAUUCGACGCAACGCGCAGAACCUUACCAGCCCUUGACAUGUCCAGGACCGGUCGCAGAGAUGUGACCUUCUCUUCGGAGCCUGGAACACAGGUGCUGCAUGGCUGUCGUCAGCUCGUGUCGUGAGAUGUUGGGUUAAGUCCCGCAACGAGCGCAACCCCCGUCCUUAGUUGCUACCAUUUAGUUGAGCACUCUAAGGAGACUGCCGGUGAUAAGCCGCGAGGAAGGUGGGGAUGACGUCAAGUCCUCAUGGCCCUUACGGGCUGGGCUACACACGUGCUACAAUGGCGGUGACAAUGGGACGCUAAGGGGCAACCCUUCGCAAAUCUCAAAAAGCCGUCUCAGUUCGGAUUGGGCUCUGCAACUCGAGCCCAUGAAGUUGGAAUCGCUAGUAAUCGUGGAUCAGCACGCCACGGUGAAUACGUUCCCGGGC